UGUCAGGCUACCCUGAGUUCCCUCUGUAAAAAUGCUCAUAGUAUUGUAUGUCUAUAAUCACAGCACUUGGGGAGGCUGAGGCAGGAGGAU
RNAcentral lists this microRNA precursor (90 nucleotides) under Chinchilla lanigera (long-tailed chinchilla). RNAcentral describes it as "miRNA (ENSCLAG00000021249.1)". Lineage: Eukaryota; Metazoa; Chordata; Mammalia; Rodentia; Chinchillidae. The record is from RNAcentral.